This 251-nucleotide unclassified non-coding RNA is filed under the name Hevea brasiliensis (rubber tree). The record is from RNAcentral. Lineage: Eukaryota; Viridiplantae; Streptophyta; Magnoliopsida; Malpighiales; Euphorbiaceae.
CUCCGGUACAUGGGCUUCACCAUAAUCAAAAUAUAGUUCGCUGAAGGAAGAAGCAGAAAGCUUUUGAAAACAGAGGAACUAAAUAUGGCGAUAUAAUUGUAAGCAAUUGGCUGCAAAACUUGCUUCCUAAUGAUUAUUUUCAUGACUAUAGCAUAUAAUACACUCCAAAAAGACAGAAAAAAGCACUAUUAUGAGACUUCACACGCUGUAAUCUAAGCUAAUAUCGUAUUCAUCAUCUGAUACUCUCUAUU